GUCCCUUCAGGGACAUCCGAUAAAAUUGGAACGAUACAGAGAAGAUUAGCAUGGCCCAAUCGAGAAAUGGUCCAAAUUUUU
RNAcentral lists this small nuclear RNA (81 nucleotides) under Triticum aestivum (bread wheat). The record is from RNAcentral. Lineage: Eukaryota; Viridiplantae; Streptophyta; Magnoliopsida; Poales; Poaceae.